GGAGGGGUGACUCAGAGGGCGGGGGCGGCCCUAGAGCCGCACCUCCGCCCCGGGCCCCGUCUGCCCCGCAUCAACCAUCCCCAGGGCCGCCUCCGGGAGGGGCGGGGCCGGCCGGCAGGGCAGGUGAGGGCGGCCCCGGGAGGGUGCGUUGGGAAGCUUCUUUGUUGAUCGUCCGGCCCCGCCCCAGGCCUGGGCGCGAGCUGCAGGAGCUGAGUCACGGCCGACUGCUGGGUGCGUGGCCACAUGGCCCCAGGCGGAAGAGUGCGUCCCUUUCCUGAACCUGGCGUGUCUCUUGAGGAAGCCAAAGAGACAAAAGCCAGGGAGCGGUGGCUUCUGUUCUACAAAGCUCACUACUCGUAACCCAUAACUGAGGUCACCCCAGCACUCGCACAGCCCUGAGCAGGAACCACCGUCCGUCCGCCACCUCCAUGCCACCUCCAAAGGGAUCAUGAUUUUGAGGCUUGAGGCAAAGCUCCGCGACGGACUUGCAGUGACAUGGUCCAGGAAGGUUCCUCUAGAGCUGCCCCAUGUCCCCACACCUGCCUGAGAUGCUUGGCAGACCUCCCUUUGGGUGUCACUGAUUUUGAGGACGUUCCCCUGAACAUAUAUGUAUUAACCACAAAUGAGCGCUGCUGAAUGAUCCUGCCUGGCUCUGAAAGCCUCCAUCUCAGACAGACAAAUGAGACUCCAGCCUUGUUCUGCCUGAGCUCCAGCAAAAGCAAGAGAUCAGAGGCUGCCGUCUUGUUGGAGAAGCCGCCAGGAUCCGGAUCACAAAGCACUGGGGGCAGUGGAUGUCUUUAGCAGUUUCAGGGCCUGUGAACCUGCUCUUGAAAUGCGUCCCUUUGAGCUCUAGUCCGCGAAGCCCCUCAGGAAUUGGAGUGAUGGCAGUGACUGGCCGUGUGCCGUGGCUGCGGGGAUGGCUAGGUGAGGCCUAUGGCCUGGGAAGAAGUCAUCCCAGCGUGCGAGGAGGGAGGAGCGGGGAGCUGGGGCUUUCUGCGGAGAUCGCUGCUGCCGCCGUGAUCUGUGGUGGAGCAGUGGCUGGGACUCGGGCUCCAAAGCCUCCGAGCUGGAUCCAAGCGGCUAUGCCUCGUACUGCCGUGUGGCCUGGGGCGUCACAUGGCCUCUGGGGGCCCAGUGUCCUCAUCUGUCCUCGGGGAUACUGAGAGCGACCUCGUGGCUAAUGGUUAAAUAAGCUACUGUGGGUAGUGUGUCUGGCACUGAGUAGGUGCUCUGCAAAUGGAAGACGUUAUUGCUGUUAUCACACAAAUUAUAGCCAAAACAUAAGUCAGUGACGAUGACUAGCCCGCUGUUCCGUCUGAAAUGGGUUACCGAUCUGGCGACCCUAUUUCUGGUGUCCCAGGGACCCCCACCCCCACCCCUCUACCCAGCCCUGCCGUCCUGCCGCCCAGGGUCUUUCUGACUGUCCCCAGCCCUCCCUCCUCCCACCUCUGUCCCGGCCUGGCCCCAGCUUCCUGUCACCUGGACUCCAUCCAGUCUGAAAGGGCAAGAGCGCACGCGGCGAAACCAGGAGGAUGCAGCCCCUGGAACCCCCGCCCUUCCCUGUAUCCUAUGUUUGUCUGCUUCCAACUCUUGGCCAUCUUGGGUCUCCAGCUGCUUCUCACUUCCUAUCCCUUUGUUCUAACUUUUCUCUCUCUCCCCAUUCCGUGGUUCCCCAUGGCUCUCAUUAAACUCUAAUUAAACGAUGCAGCAAGUGGCAAUGACGAUACCCUCUCCCAUCCAAGUGCUCAUCAAAGGGUUGUGCACGACACACCGGAGACACGGGAUGAAGAGAGGCCUGGGCGCUGGGGUGGGGGUGGGCGUGGGGGGCAGCAGGGGCGUUCCUUAUGCGGCCAUGACCUGACACCAGAGACAGAGGGAAGGUCUGAGGGCUCGCUGUGUGUCCUGGGAUAAUUCUGUUUGUCCAUCUGUCACACCAGGACAGGAAUCCUCAGUUCUGUACACCCAGGAGUAGAGGGAAGGUACGAGAUACUUAGCAAAGAUGACCAUGAAAGUCCUGGUCACCAUCCACUCCACCAAGGACUAGUGAUAAUAACUAGCGUUCAGGGAGGGAGUCCUAGUUGAAGAGCCUCUCUCCUAAACUCUCUUGAACCUCACAACCACCCCAUGAAGCAACAGAGAAAAAUGGCACCAUUAACCCCAUUUUACAGGUGAGGAAACUGAGGUCUUGAGAGUUUAAAUGACUUGCCUGGGGCCUAGGCCACAGGGCUGAUCCCCGGAACCAUUUUCCCAUCCCUUUCCGAGAUCCUUUUCAUUUUGUGCACUCAGCCUCUGCCCCGCCCGUGAGUCCCUCACUGCACCUUCCCCGGGCUGGCCCUGGGUGCUGGCAGCUUGGAGAGUCAUAUGCUGAGGACUGUGGCCACCACAGAGCCCGGCCUCAGGCAGGCCCUCCCCUGCUCCACAAGGCUUUUCCCACGCCUGGCCUGGCCUCCCUUCGUUCCCCUCAGCAACACUUCCAGAAGGGCCCUCCCCCACCCCCCACCCCGUCAUCCCCUCCCACACUCCUUGCCUCCUGUGGCUCCUGGCAAUCAUGGUCCUGAGCAGGAAGAGCCUUUAGGCCAGCCCCAAGCCCGGAAGCACACCUGCCUCCACCCCUUUUUGUUUUCUCCUCUUCAGUCUUAAGGCUGCAGGAGGCCCCCUCCUCUCCCUUUUGACCUCUCUCCCUCCUGGCCCUCCAGGCUCCUUCUGCAUCAGUGGUCAACCUUCUCUUCAGAAUUUCUGGCCUCUCCUCUGCACUGGCGCCCCCAGCCCAGCAACAUGCCGUUGUCUCUCCCUUCUUCUUUGCCACGGCAUUUUCAUGCCACUUCCCCAUUUGACCUGAAUUCUUAAAAGGAUAGUUCACACCAGGGUUUGUCGACCUCAGCACUAUUGCCAUUUGGGGCCAGAUAAUUCUUUAUCGUGGGGGCCAUCCUGUGUGUUUACCUCAAUUUUCUUGGGCUGCCAUCACAAAAUACUAUGGACUGGGUUGUUUAAAGACAGAAAUUUAUUUCUCACAGUUCUGGAGGCUGCAAGACCAAGGUCAAAGUCUGGCAGUUGAGUUUCUAGUGAGGAUUCUGCUCCUGGCAUGCAGACAGCCACCUCUUCUUCAUGCCCUCGCCUGGCCUUUCCUCUGAGUGUGAGGAGAGAGGGGCAGCAAGCUCUCUGAUGACUUUUCUUAUAAGGGCACUAAUCUCGUCAGACCAGAGCCCCACCCUCAUAACCUCAUCUAACACUAACAACUUCCCAAAGCCCCAUCCCCCCUGCCACCAGAAUACUGUCACAUUUGGGGUUAGGGCUUUAACAUAUGAAUUUCUGGGGAACACAAACAUUCAGUCCAUUACAGAGCUGUAGGGUGUUUAGCAGCGUCUCUGGCAUCUACCCACUAGAGAUGCAUUCCUUUCAGUUUGGAAAGAUGGUAAAGGACACUAGAAGCCAGUAGUGAGAGUUACGAUGCACACCUCCCCACCCCGAGUCGUGAUCGUUGUUGACAACCCCAGUUGUGACAACAAAAAAUGUCACCAGACCUUGCCAGAUGUUCCCUGGAGGACAAAAAUCUCCCCAUGCUGAGAACCACUGGUUUACAUUAUUUAUUGUAUUUUCUUAUCCCAGGAUAUCCAAGAUAAUUGAAUUCACUCCUCAAUUCACUUGUAAUUCAGUGUCUACUCCUUUCCCAAUCUACUGCUUUAGUUAACACUCACUCUACCCUGUAUUGUAAAAUCAUUUGUGUUCAUGGCGCUGAGUCACACUGCUCUAGUGGAAUAUUUACCACUCUCUACUUCUGGAACCUAUUCUGGCUCCGGAGGAAAGCCCUGUUAGUCGCCCUCCUGAUUGCCAGCCUUUCUCCCGCCUUCUUCCUGUAGUUAGAUCUGUUUCUACGGUGACUGAAAUACUAGUUAUUCAAGUGACCAUCUUCCUUGCAGCUGGGGCUAGGUAAUGGCAUCUGAGGGAGAGUCUACCUGCGAGAGCUUCUAGGAAAGAUUUACUUUCUGAGAAAGGGGAAGGAGGGACACAAAGAAAAAGCCACAUUAUUGGUUAAAAGAAAAAAGAAAAUUGAUGUUGAAGUGGCUGCAGCCAUCUUGCAAACAUGAGGAAAAGCCAAGGAGAAGCCUGACUUAUUGAGCCACUGAAUCAACCCUGGAAUUGCCUACUUCUGGACCUCUUGUGAGAGAACUAAUGUUCUUAUUACCUAAGUCAAUUUUAGUCAGCUAUUCUAUUACUUGUAGCCAGCAGUAUCCUGACUGAUCCAGCUUCUAAGACUCUACUCUGUCCCUGUUCUCUGGCUGAUCCUUUAUCAUCUUCUUUUUUUUUUCUUUUUGCGGUACGCGGGCCUCUCACUGCUGUGACCUCUCCCGUUGCGGAGCACAGGCUCUGGACGCGCAGGCUCAGCGGACAUGGCUCACGGGCCCAGCCACUCCGCAGCAUGCAGGAUCUUCCUGGACCGGGGCACAAACCCGCAUCCCCUGCAUCGGCAGGCAGACUCUCAACCACUGCGCCACCAGGGAAGCCCUCCUUUAUCAUCUUUUUCCAGGCCUUCUCCUCUUCCCCCUCCCCGUCAACAACAAGUUGGUGUUCCAAGGCUCACAGUUCUUCUCAC
Long non-coding RNA from Orcinus orca (killer whale), 4591 nucleotides. RefSeq lists it as uncharacterized. The transcript is spliced from 4 exons. NCBI's taxonomy places the organism in Eukaryota, Metazoa, Chordata, Mammalia, Artiodactyla, Delphinidae. The record is from RefSeq and is a predicted model, not a curated record.